Molecule: ribosomal RNA, 251 nt
Filed under: uncultured bacterium
Lineage: Bacteria
Description: partial 16S ribosomal RNA
Rfam family: Bacterial small subunit ribosomal RNA
Source: RNAcentral
GAUCCUGGCUCAGAUUGAACGCUGGCGGCAGGCCUAACACAUGCAAGUCGAACGGUAACAGGAAGAAGCUUGCUUCUUUGCUGACGAGUGGCGGACGGGUGAGUAAUGUCUGGGAAACUGCCUGAUGGAGGGGGAUAACGUACUGGAAACGGUAGCUAAUACCGCAUAACGUCGCAAGACCAAAGAGGGGGACCUUCGGCCUCUUGCAUCGGAUGUGCCCAGAUGGGAUUAGCUAGUAGGUGGGGUAACGG